UAAGGAAUAUUGGUCAAUGGACGCAAGUCUGAACCAGCCAUGCCGCGUGAAGGAUGAAGGUCCUCUGGAUUGUAAACUUCUUUUAUCUGGGACGAAAACGGGAUUUUUAUCUCAAUUGACGGUACCUGAGGAAUAAGCACCGGCUAACUCCGUGCCAGCAGCCGCGGUAAUACGGAGGGUGCGAGCGUUAUCCGGAUUUACUGGGUUUGAAGGGUGCGUAGGUGGGCUUAUAAGUCAGUGGUGAAAUCUCCGAGCUUAACUUGGAAACUGCCGUUGAUACUAUAGGUCUUGAAUUAUCUGGAGGUAAGCGGAAUAUGUCAUGUAGCGGUGAAAUGCUUAGAUAUGACAUAGAACACCAAUUGCGAAGGCAGCUUACUACAUAUAAAUUGACGCUGAGGCACGAAAGCGUGGGGAUCAAACA
Molecule: ribosomal RNA, 421 nt
Filed under: uncultured bacterium
Lineage: Bacteria
Description: bacterial SSU rRNA
Rfam family: Bacterial small subunit ribosomal RNA
Source: RNAcentral